RNAcentral lists this non-coding RNA (1678 nucleotides) under Cryptosporidium parvum. The record is from RNAcentral. Lineage: Eukaryota; Apicomplexa; Conoidasida; Eucoccidiorida; Cryptosporidiidae.
UUCUCUUCUGUAUGUACAUGUGCAUGUUUUUUUCUUCUAAAAUAGUUUUGUUUGUGUUAAUUGUGUGAAUAAGUCUUGAAUAAAUUACUUGAAAGGAGUGCGAGCAGUUACCACCAAAAUAUGGGGACAAGAAGAAUACCAAGAUUAUGAAAUUAAAGUAGAACAUAUUAGAUUAGAAAUUGUAACUUGAAAAUUAGAGAAAUUAGUGGGAAAAAAAAUGAGAGUUAAUGCUAUAAGAAAAAAAAAAGCAUUAAUAACGACUUUUGAAAAAAAGGGGACUCAAAUAGAAAUAAUUUUAUUUUAUUCUCUAAACUAUAAACCUGUAACAGCUGAUCAGCAAAUAUUUGCAUAUAGUUGAUGUAACCAUUUAGUAGUAACGCCGUCAUCAUGAAAGAUCAUUUUAAAACUGGGAGAAAGAAUGACAGAAGGGAUGGUUUGUUUCAAAGCAUCUCUAACUUUGGAGUUCUCUGAUAAUCUUAGAUAACAGCGAAUAAUAUGCUUCAAUAGUCUCGGGGAAGGAGCCUCAUUAUGCUGAGUAAUAACAUUACCAAGAACUUGGCACACAGUAAAGAAUCUUUCAGGAGUAGCGCAAAUAUAAGUAAGGCCAAGAUCAUCCAACAGAAUUUUUUGUAUGAUGAACGUCGCGACAGUCUUGCUAAGUUCGCUUCCAGUUUCCAUCACUCUCAAACAUAGAGGAAUGAUCUCAGUUUGUAAAAGAAAGCUCACAACUUCAGGAUCGUCAACCUUUACAAGGGCGCCAAUAACACCAAGUGAUGUGAGACGGAGAUACUCAAAUGGACGUGAUUUAGUCACAGUAUUUAGAAAAGGAUAAAGAUAUAGUGGAAUAUGAGCUGCAAGAAAGUGAGCUCUUGUUUCCGAAUGGCUUGCAACACACUGUAAUAAGGCUAAACAAUUACAUGUCCGGUUGCUUGCUUGAUUUGAUAAAUUAGGAGGAGAUAAAAGUGGAUAUAUAGAAAUGAUUUCUUGUAAAAGAGCAGUAAUACAACCAAAGCUAUGCCACAUUAGCGGAGCCAAAUCUGGGAAUGUUUCGCGAUAUUUUGAAAGUUUUGAUAAUGCCAUUUCUCUUUUUGAAGAGCAAGUCAUAUCAACUAAAUAUUGAUAAACUUUCUCUCUUUCUUUUUGGAUAAUAUUUUCAUUCCCUUUCAAGUCACCACUAUUAUCUGAUGGUGAUGGUAAAAUUCCUACAUCUCCUGAAACAGAAAUUUGAUUUGGGAUCCCUCCACCUAUUCCAAGUUCUCCUUGAGAAAUUCUCUGUUGUACCUUUCCACUAAUAGAAGCUGAAAGAGAAUUGGAUGGUACUGAAUUAGAUGAUGAUGCCGAAUUAGAGGAUGGCACAGAAGCUGCCAUUGAAUUUGAAGAAUGUAAUGGCAUAGAAGGAGCAGAAGAUGAAGAUGAGGAGGAAGAAGAUGAUGGUGGCGCUGUAGAUGCAGAGGAAGGAGCCAUUAUUCCGCCUCCUGAGUUGUUUAAUCCUCCUUGUGGUAUCAUUUCUUAUUUAUUGAUUCCCAAAAAUUAAAAUUCUACUUUGAUUAACUUUAUUUUAAUAUAAGAUAAAAAAGAAAAAAACAAAAAAGAGAACUGCACAAUGUAUUUGGAUUCUAUAUAAACUCGUUCAAUGGCUUUUCAUUUCUUCGAUUUUAAAAAUCCAUUAACUUAAAAC